Molecule: transfer RNA, 73 nt
Filed under: Puniceicoccales bacterium
Lineage: Bacteria; Pseudomonadati; Verrucomicrobiota; Opitutia; Puniceicoccales
Description: tRNA-Thr
Rfam family: tRNA
About the family: Transfer RNA (tRNA) molecules are approximately 80 nucleotides in length. Their secondary structure includes four short double-helical elements and three loops (D, anti-codon, and T loops).
Source: RNAcentral
GCCGACUUAGCUCAGCUGGUAGAGCACCCGCCUUGUAAGCGGACGGUCGUCAGUUCAAGUCUGACAGUCGGCU